This 1103-nucleotide long non-coding RNA is filed under the name Numida meleagris (helmeted guineafowl). RNAcentral describes it as "lncRNA (ENSNMEG00000016385.1)". The record is from RNAcentral. Lineage: Eukaryota; Metazoa; Chordata; Aves; Galliformes; Numididae.
AAAAAGGGAAGCUAGGUGCGUUUCCCUCCUACACACGGGGGAGAAGCCGCAAGCCAGGCUGGCGCGGGGCACUUCUGGCUCCGGGAGAGCCGCCGCCCUUCUGUCCCCGCUGCGGGCGCUGCCGUCGGCUCUGCCCCGCCGUGUGCGGCUGCCAAGGGGCGCGGCGCCCGCCGUGACCUUCAGGGAGCGCAUCUCCGCCGUCGAACGAUGCCGUCGCUCAGAGAAGCGCUCCCCGCGCUCGCGGGCGCCAUGUUCGUGCCGUGAGCGGCCGGGCUGGGCGGGGGAAGGGCGGCCUGGCAGUUGGACACAGCGGUUAGCUCCGGCUGGACGUGCUCCGACGGCCCCACAAAGGCAGAAGUGGAGUGGGAUUUGGGAUGGCUCCCUCCGGCGUAUGCGCUUUGUAAUGCCGAUGCCUGCUCCCCCGAGACCCCACGAAGCAUUCCCUCCCGACCCGGAGGAGAACAGGAUGGGCAUAAGCGGCCGAAGCCACAGCACUCUCCGGGUGGGGACAUGAAGUCAGCCAGAGCCGCUCCUCCGCGGGCCUGCAGGGCCAGUGUCGUCCCGAAGGUCCCCGCUCCCCUGCGGAUUUCGGAACAAAGGCAGGCCGGCCCAGCUCCACCCCGAACAUCUCUGUAAUAUUGGGUUUUCCUCCUUUUUCCCCCCUCUUUGCCCUGUUUUCCAGCCUGCAGUUACUGAAGGUCAGAUGGAGAGGUCAUGGCUCUGCAUCCCCCAUAAAUAGAUUUUGAUAUUUAGACAGCUAUUGCUACUCAAUAUUAACUUACAGGAUAAUGGCGAGAGAUACCGUAUGCACUGAACCUGUUAUUCACGAGUGAGCAGCAUCUGUCGAAUACAAUUCUCGUCUUUUUGCCCUGUUUGGCCAUAGCGCAAUCAAUAGGGUGAAGGACAUCUCAGAGCUGGGGUGGGGACAGUGAGCGGGGCGUCGGCAGCGAGCGCAGCAGUGACACCACAAAAGGGCUUUGGAGAGCUGAGGUCAAGAGCCAGGUGGUCACAGAGUGGCUCCGAGAGGGGAGAGGAACCGAUGCGAAAGCGUCUGGCAGGGAGCUGCCAGCACCACAUUGCUGCCUUGAUUCUGGGGCUGGAAA